Potamilus streckersoni is the source of this 77-nucleotide non-coding RNA. NCBI's taxonomy places the organism in Eukaryota, Metazoa, Mollusca, Bivalvia, Unionida, Unionidae. The record is from the annotation of a GenBank genome assembly.
GACCUCUCCGGUGGCCUAGUGGUUAGAGCAUCCUCCUUGGAUGUGGGAAGUCAAGGGUUCAAACCCCAUCUGAGUCG